GACGAACGCUGGCGGCGUGCCUAAUACAUGCAAGUUGAGCGCCGAAGGUUGGUACUUGUACCAACUGGAUGAGCAGCGAACGGGUGAGUAACGCGUGGGGAAUCUGCCUUUGAGCGGGGGACAACAUUUGGAAACGAAUGCUAAUACCGCAUAAAAACUUUAAACACAAGUUUUAAGUUUGAAAGAUGCAAUUGCAUCACUCAAAGAUGAUCCCGCGUUGUAUUAGCUAGUUGGUGAGGUAAAGGCUCACCAAGGCGAUGAUACAUAGCCGACCUGAGAGGGUGGACGACCACAAUGGGACUGGGGAACGGCCCAAGCUCCUACGGGGGGCAGCAGUAGGGAAUCUUCGGCAAUGGACGAAAGUCUGACCGCGCAACGCCGCGUGAGUGAAGGAGGUUUUCGGAUCGUAAAACUCUGUUGGUAGGGAAGAACGUUGGUGAGAGUGGAAAGCUCAUCAAGUGACGGUAACUACCCAGAAAGGGACGGCUAACUACGUG
RNAcentral lists this ribosomal RNA (497 nucleotides) under uncultured bacterium. RNAcentral describes it as "partial 16S ribosomal RNA". It matches the Rfam family "Bacterial small subunit ribosomal RNA", at positions 28 to 507 of the family's 1533-position model. The record is from RNAcentral.